This 22-nucleotide non-coding RNA is filed under the name Gossypium hirsutum (cotton). The record is from RNAcentral. Lineage: Eukaryota; Viridiplantae; Streptophyta; Magnoliopsida; Malvales; Malvaceae.
UUGUCCAGACCAAAUUAUUAGC